This 90-nucleotide non-coding RNA is filed under the name unclassified sequences. Its description in RNAcentral is "Peptidase-S11 RNA". It matches the Rfam family "Peptidase-S11 RNA". Rfam says of the family: Enterobacteria. The record is from RNAcentral.
CGUAUUAUGCUGCUGCCAGCCCGCAUCCCGUCUGGUUUGAUGCGCGCGGCCUGUGUCUUAAACACGGCGCAAAACUCCUUACCGGAUUUU